RNAcentral lists this ribosomal RNA (452 nucleotides) under uncultured bacterium. Its description in RNAcentral is "partial 16S ribosomal RNA". It matches the Rfam family "Bacterial small subunit ribosomal RNA", at positions 28 to 523 of the family's 1533-position model. The record is from RNAcentral.
GAUGAACGCUGGCGGCGUGCCUAACACAUGCAAGUCGAACGGGAAUCUUCGGAUUCUAGUGGCGGACGGGUGAGUAACGCGUAAGAAUCUAACUUCAGGACGGGGACAACAGUUGGAAACGACUGCUAAUACCCGAUAUGCCGCAAGGUGAAACCUAAUUGGCCUGAAGAAGAGCUUGCGUCUGAUUAGCUAGUUGGUGGGGUAAAAGCCUACCAAGGCGACGAUCAGUAGCUGGUCUGAGAGAAUGAGCAGCCACACUGGGACUGAGACACGGCCGAGACUCCUACGGGAGGCAGCAGUGGGGAAUUUUCCGCAAUGGGCGAAAGCCUGACGGAGAAACGCCGGGUGGGGGAGGAAGGUCUUUGGAUUGUAAACCUCUUUUCUCAAGGAAGAAGUUCUGACGGUACUUGAGGAAUCAGCCUCGGCUAACCCCGUGCCAGCCGCCGCGGUAA